UGAGGAAUAUUGGUCAAUGGGCGAGAGCCUGAACCAGCCAAGUAGCGUGCAGGAUGACGGCCCUAUGGGUUGUAAACUGCUUUUAUAUGGGAAUAAAGUGAGGGACGUGUCCCUUAUUGCAUGUACCAUACGAAUAAGGACCGGCUAAUUCCGUGCCAGCAGCCGCGGUAAUACGGAAGGUCCGGGCGUUAUCCGGAUUUAUUGGGUUUAAAGGGAGCGUAGGCCGCGUUUUAAGCGUGUUGUGAAAUGUAGACGCCCAACGUCUGCAUCGCAGCGCGAACUGGGACGCUUGAGUACGCGCAACGUUGGCGGAAUUCGUCGUGUAGCGGUGAAAUGCUUAGAUAUGACGAGGAACUCCGAUUGCGAAGGCAGCUGACGGGAGCGGCACUGACGCUUAAGCUCGAAGGUGCGGGUAUCAAACAGG
RNAcentral lists this ribosomal RNA (424 nucleotides) under Verrucomicrobiota bacterium. RNAcentral's name for it is "Verrucomicrobia bacterium partial 16S ribosomal RNA". It matches the Rfam family "Bacterial small subunit ribosomal RNA", at positions 355 to 776 of the family's 1533-position model. Lineage: Bacteria; Pseudomonadati; Verrucomicrobiota. The record is from RNAcentral.